UGAGGAAUAUUGGUCAAUGGGCGAGAGCCUGAACCAGCCAAGUAGCGUGCAGGAUGACGGCCCUAUGGGUUGUAAACUGCUUUUAUGUGGGGAUAAAGUGCGUGACGUGUCAUGCAUUGCAGGUACCACAUGAAUAAGGACCGGCUAAUUCCGUGCCAGCAGCCGCGGUAAUACGGAAGGUCCGGGCGUUAUCCGGAUUUAUUGGGUUUAAAGGGAGCGUAGGCUGUCUAUUAAGCGUGUUGUGAAAUUUACCGGCUCAACCGGUGGCUUGCAGCGCGAACUGGUCGACUUGAGUAUGCAGGAAGUAGGCGGAAUUCAUGGUGUAGCGGUGAAAUGCUUAGAUAUCAUGACGAACUCCGAUUGCGUAGGCAGCUUACUGUAGCAUAACUGACGCUGAUGCUCGAAAGUGCGGGUAUCAAACAGG
Molecule: ribosomal RNA, 424 nt
Filed under: Fusobacteriota bacterium
Lineage: Bacteria; Fusobacteriati; Fusobacteriota
Description: Fusobacteria bacterium partial 16S ribosomal RNA
Rfam family: Bacterial small subunit ribosomal RNA
Source: RNAcentral